GACGAACGCUGGCGGCGUGCUUAACACAUGCAAGUCGAACGGAAAGGCCCCUUUUGGGGUACUCUAGUGGCGAACGGGUGUGUAACACGUGAGUAACCUGCCCUUGACUUCGGGAUAACUUCAGGAAACUGGGGCUAAUACCGGAUAGGAAUCCUUGCUGCAUGGUGGGGGUUGGAAAGCUUCGGCGGUUUUGGAUGGACUCGCGGCGUAUCAGCUUGUUGGUGGGGUAGUGGCUUACCAAGGCUUUGACGGGUAGCCGGCCUGAGAGGGCGACCGGCCACACUGGGACCGAGAGACGGCCCAGACUCCUACGGGAGGAAGAAGUGGGGAAUAUUGCACAAUGGGCGGAAGCCGGAUGAAGAAACGCCGCGUGCGGGAUGACGGCCUUCGGGUUGUAAACCGCUUUCAGCAGGGGAGAAGCUUGUGGUGACGGUACCUGCAGAAGAAGCACCGGCUAACUACGUG
Molecule: ribosomal RNA, 465 nt
Filed under: uncultured bacterium
Lineage: Bacteria
Description: partial 16S ribosomal RNA
Rfam family: Bacterial small subunit ribosomal RNA
Source: RNAcentral